AUGGAACUAAACCUGCAAGUGCAAUGCUGGAACGUUUGUGGCUUGAACAAUCCAGCUAAAAGAAAGGCGGUGAGGGAGUUUGUGAACUCGGCAAGAGCAAACAUGGCGUAUUUGCAAGAGACCAAAUUAGAUGCAAUUGAUCGCUUUUGUGUUAUGUAAUGUCCGGGGCUGUCAUUUGACGGCUUUGCUUAUUUGCCGGCGUCUGACACUCGAGGUGGUGUUCUUCUUGCUUGGUAUAAUAUGGUCAUGGAUGUGGACAACAUCUCCCUUGAUACCAUUUUCCUUACAGGUCUGGUCCAUAACAAGGAUGGAGCACAUUGGUGGAUCUCGGUUGUGUAUGGUCCCCAAGGAUAUGAGCUCAAGACCACAUUUUUGGAGGGGUUGAAAUCUAGAAGGGAGGUAUGUCAGGGCCCAUGGAUGGUUCUUGGGGAUUUCAACAUGAUCCUUAGAGUUUCGGAGAAGAACAAUACCAACUUCGAACCGGGGUAUAAUGCGUAA
Molecule: ribosomal RNA, 498 nt
Filed under: Triticum aestivum (bread wheat)
Lineage: Eukaryota; Viridiplantae; Streptophyta; Magnoliopsida; Poales; Poaceae
Description: partial small subunit ribosomal RNA
Source: RNAcentral